Rattus rattus (black rat) is the source of this 3784-nucleotide RNA transcript. It is a transcript of the gene named calcium/calmodulin dependent protein kinase II gamma, with no coding region annotated. NCBI's taxonomy places the organism in Eukaryota, Metazoa, Chordata, Mammalia, Rodentia, Muridae. The record is from RefSeq and is a predicted model, not a curated record. The transcript has 23 exons.
GCCGCGUCCGCCCGCCCGCCCGCCAGUAUGGCCACCACCGCCACCUGCACCCGCUUCACCGACGACUACCAGCUUUUCGAGGAGCUCGGCAAGGGUGCCUUCUCGGUGGUCCGGAGGUGCGUGAAGAAAACGUCCACGCAGGAAUAUGCCGCAAAAAUCAUCAAUACCAAGAAGUUGUCUGCCCGAGAUCAUCAGAAACUAGAACGAGAGGCCCGGAUAUGCCGACUUCUGAAACAUCCAAACAUCGUGCGUCUCCAUGACAGUAUUUCUGAAGAAGGGUUUCACUACCUCGUGUUUGACCUUGUUACGGGAGGGGAGUUGUUUGAAGACAUCGUGGCCAGAGAAUACUACAGCGAAGCUGAUGCCAGCCACUGUAUACAUCAGAUCCUGGAGAGCGUCAACCACAUCCACCAGCAUGACAUCGUCCACCGGGACCUGAAGCCUGAGAACUUGCUGCUGGCGAGUAAAUGCAAGGGUGCUGCGGUCAAGCUAGCUGAUUUUGGCCUGGCCAUCGAAGUGCAGGGAGAGCAGCAGGCUUGGUUUGGUUUUGCUGGCACCCCAGGUUACUUGUCCCCUGAGGUCCUGAGGAAAGAUCCCUAUGGAAAACCUGUGGAUAUCUGGGCCUGCGGGGUCAUCCUGUAUAUCCUCCUGGUGGGCUACCCUCCCUUCUGGGAUGAGGAUCAGCACAAGCUCUAUCAGCAGAUCAAAGCUGGAGCCUACGAUUUCCCAUCACCAGAAUGGGACACGGUCACUCCUGAAGCUAAGAACUUGAUCAACCAGAUGCUGACCAUAAACCCUGCAAAGCGUAUCACAGCUGACCAGGCUCUCAAGCACCCAUGGGUCUGUCAACGGUCAACAGUGGCAUCCAUGAUGCAUCGCCAAGAGACAGUGGAGUGCUUACGCAAGUUCAACGCCCGGAGAAAACUGAAGGGUGCCAUCCUCACAACUAUGCUUGUCUCCAGGAACUUUUCAGUUGGCAGGCAGAGCUCCGCCCCCGCCUCGCCUGCCGCGAGCGCCGCCGGCCUGGCCGGGCAAGCUGCCAAGAGCCUAUUGAACAAGAAGUCAGAUGGCGGCGUCAAGAAAAGGAAGUCGAGUUCCAGCGUGCACCUAAUGCCACAGAGCAACAACAAAAACAGUCUCGUAAGCCCAGCCCAAGAGCCCGCGCCCUUGCAGACGGCCAUGGAGCCACAAACCACCGUGGUACAUAAUGCUACAGAUGGGAUCAAGGGCUCCACAGAGAGCUGCAACACCACCACAGAAGACGAAGAUCUCAAAGCUGCCCCGCUCCGCACUGGGAAUGGCAGCUUGGUGCCUGAAGGACGGAGCCCCCGGGACAGAACAGCCCCCUCUGCAGGCAUGCAGCCCCAGCCUUCUCUCUGCUCCUCAGCCAUGCGAAAACAGGAGAUCAUUAAGAUCACAGAACAGCUGAUCGAAGCCAUCAACAAUGGGGACUUUGAGGCCUACACGAAGAUUUGUGACCCAGGCCUCACUUCCUUUGAGCCAGAAGCCCUUGGUAACCUCGUGGAGGGGAUGGAUUUCCAUAAGUUUUACUUUGAGAAUCGUGAGUGGUCCUGUCCAAGAACAGCAAGCCUAUCCACACCACCAUCCUAAACCCACAUGUCCAUGUCAUCGGCGAGGACGCAGCUUGCAUCGCCUACAUCCGGCUCACCCAGUACAUCGAUGGGCAGGGUCGGCCUCGCACCAGUCAGUCAGAGGAGACCCGGGUGUGGCACCGCCGGGAUGGCAAGUGGCUCAAUGUCCACUAUCACUGCUCAGGAGCCCCUGCUGCACCGCUGCAGUGAGCUCAGGCACAGGGGCAUUAGGAGAUUCCAGCUGGAGGCUGAACCUUCGAAGCCAGUGACUCUGGAGGGCCUGAGUGACAGCCGCGGUCCUGUCCGUUUGAGGUUUAAAACAAUUACAUUACAAAGCGGCAGCAGCCAAUGCACGCCCCUGCAUGCAGCCCUCCCGCCCGCCCUUCGUGUCUGUCUCUGCUGUACCGAGGUGUUUUUUACAUUUAAGAAAAAAAAAGAAAAUAAGAUUGUUUUAAAAAAAAAAAUGGAAUUCAUACCAUGAUGCGUUUUAAAACAACUGAUAGCCUUUGGGCUUGAAGAAGGCAGGAGUUUGUAUGAUGCUCAUCCAGGCGUGGACAGAGGGCUCACCCACUGGCUUUGAAGAGGUGAGCUUGGCCUCAGGCCCCCAUGGACUCGGGGGGGACCAGGCAAGGACUCUUGACAGAGCUUUGGUCAUGGACAGAGCCAUGGUGUGGUUGCAGCCCAGUGGUGACCUGAUCACCCCAGGUCUAGGAGUGGACUUCUUCAGAAUAUACAUUGACAUCUAGUAUGAGAAAGAAGAAAACGCCAUGGCUAACAGACCUACUUGGGAGAGAACUCAGCGCUCCCAGCCCGCUGUGGAGGCAACUGUGAAGCGUGGCCUCGGGACUGAAGGCCUGGACUUUGCCGUACCGUUCCAGUUAGUGUAGACAGGAAGAGAAUUGGUGCUGCAGAAGUGUGUCCGACACAGAGCCGGUGUGAAACCUCGCGUUAGUCUGACACGCACUUACUCAUCCAUUUCUAUAGGAUGCACAAUGCACGUGGGCCUGAGACUGAGGCCUGAUUUCUGCAGGCGGGAAGGGGGUGGGAUUGCUACUUUGUUUCCUGUUGGUUUUCCUAAUGUAUCAAGGAGAGAUCCAGACAUCCUUGGCCAGGGCUCCUGUUGCCACUUUCGGCAGUUGUGUUUGUGUGCGGAUCUGGACCACUUUGUCUUAUAUUUUCAUGGCGGUGGUCCCCAUGCCGACCCUCUGCCAAGUGCCCCUGCAGGAUGGGAGGAGUGAGAUAAGAGUUGGUGGUUGUUUCUAUGCAUUCUGGCUGCCCUCUGGGCUGCCUCCCUUCUUCCCGUGCUGCACGUCCGUCUCUUUCCCUGGGUUUGAGAUUGAACCGACUGCUUGGGUGAGAAGUGUCCUCUUAAAUGAGGCUCUCUACCGACCAACUGAAGUAUAGACUUUUCUGCUGGACAAUCUGCAUGGGCAUCACCCCCUCACCUGCAUGUACCCAAAAAGGGGUCCAGAGCCAAGGCUCCUGUAGUCAUUGUCCCUCUCUGUGCUCAAGGAGUUCCUUUCCAGGAGGAAAAGAUCUGUACCUUAGGCAGAUAACAGAGAAGACAAUGGAGGAGCAAUUGGUCAUAGUCUUGGUUCCCUCCCACCCAACAGCUGCACACUAUUUGCAUUUUGGGGGGGAAAGGUGGGUUGAUUUCAGCUCUUUGGAUGACCUUCAGGGAGGCACAGGAGCUGGGAAAAGAUACAGAACUACAGACUUUGGAACCAGCUGAGAAGAGAACAAACUCAUGGGUGCUGGUGCUUGAAUUUAGCCAGGCUCCUCAAGCACCUUGUGCAUGCCUCAGACCCUGGACCCUAGCCCCUUCCUGCCCUGCAGCCUGCAGUGCCAGCCAACAGAUCCCUUCACCACAGGGUUUGGUUUUGCUGGCUUGAAGACAACAAAUGGUCUUAGAGCUCAUUGAGACCCAUAGCUUCAUAUGGCUGCUCCAGCCCCACUUAGCGUUCUUACUCCACUUCUGGGGCUAAUGUCAGCAUCUAUAGACGAUUAAUAGACUAUUUAAAAACAACAAACCACCUUUUAAACAGGAAAUGAAAGGCAUUUGAUGCAGAACUUUUGCAUGAUGACAUAGAAAUAAUUUAAAAAUAGUGUUUGUUCUGAAUGUUGGUAGUCCCUUCAUAGCUUUGUUACAAUGAAACCUUGAAGAUAUUUAAUAAAAUAACCUUUAAACAGUC